Brienomyrus brachyistius is the source of this 2926-nucleotide long non-coding RNA. RefSeq lists it as uncharacterized. NCBI's taxonomy places the organism in Eukaryota, Metazoa, Chordata, Actinopteri, Osteoglossiformes, Mormyridae. The transcript is spliced from 3 exons. The record is from RefSeq and is a predicted model, not a curated record.
GACGUCGCUCUCCUCGCCCGGAUCGUCCAUAUCGUAGGACAGCAUGCCGCCGUCCUGCUCCUGCGGCGUGGCCGCAUUCCUGCUCUCCAGACCCCCGCUGUUGUCCACGAACAUUGCUGCUCUGAAGAGACGGCCGUCUUUAACAGGACAAAGAGGACACCGUGGACCUCUGGGAGGAGAUGCUGCAGAUCUCCAUGUUGGUAAAAGAGCUCCCACCUUCACUCGUGCAAUCUGGGAAUGGCGGAUCGGGGCACUCUGAGGGACGCUGAUAAGACCACAUCCCCUGCGCCGGUUAUUGUCGUUAAUCCAGGACUGCAUGAAUCGGCAAAGCUCCGUCGCACUGGCGAGCGGCUCAGGCACAAGUGGGGCUCCUCGUGCGAGACGCUGGGGGACAUGUUCUACGUGACUGAGGGCAGACAUGUGAACGUCAAGGUGACACCUUCCAUGCCAGAUUUAUUCUAAGGGUGGACAAACUCUGUAUCAGACUGAAGUGGAAUUAUUUUAUUCCUUAAUAUUCAGUAAUGUUUUAAGUGCCCUCCCCAGCAUUGUUUCCCAAAAAAGAGAAAAUAACAGGCUUGGUGUAAACCCCUUUCCAAAAGUUCCAAAUUCAAAGCCCCCCCCCUCCCCCAAACACACACAUUUCUUUAGAAAAAAUAAAUCUGCUAUGCCUCUUUUAUGCAGCUUUAGGAAAAGCACGCUGGCAGUGGGCCAGGCCAGUGCAUAAAUUUCAGUGCCUUAAGAAUUGCAAAUUGCUCUUUUGUCUAAAGGAAUUUUGUUGGGUAAAACAUUGCACUGCGGUUCUCUGUGUGGCGUAAGUUGCUUUCUGGAUCUUUAAAUGUGUUGAUUUCUUUUUCCUCCUAGAAGACCGAAAGUAUGGCUGUUCGUUUUGCAACUGGCUGUACUGUGCUUUCUACUCUUAUCACAGAGUGAUAAUAUGCCUUUUGUGUGAGCUGUGGAUCAACUGACCCCUGCUGCAGAAUUAUGCCAGUGGGUGAGAUUCACACUUGAGUCCCUGAUCCCUUUAUCUUCUGGCAGGUAGAUAGAUAAAACACACACACACACACGCACGCACGCACGCACACACACACACACACAAAUACACAAGUUUAUUAAGUAAUACAAAAUGAUUUCAGAUAAACUUUACAGGCAGGCGAUUUUCAAAGAACUGCACCAUGUAAUAGCCAGGCUGCAGCUCCGAGGUUCAGUUUGAUUUCCUUCUUCGUCGUGAUGCUGUGUUUCUGCCCUGUGAUGGACUGGUGCUGUUUACAUCUCAAAUGUGCUGCCUGUGACAUUCGGGGACUGGGAAGAGAUCAAAUGUGUCGAUUCUUGUUCCCCGAGAUUAAUAAUGUAUACGUAAGAGAACGCAAAAUCUCCUGAACUGCAAAAUCGUUUCCUCCACUUAUUCAUAAUUCAUGAAUGCAGCGGGAAAAUUAGCUGUAUGGGUGAUUUUGUGCUUAAGUGUUUUCUAAAGAAAGUGCAACGUUUUCCCCGACGGGCAGAUUUCCACAGGCAGUCUUUCAAGGCUCUUUAAUAUAUUACAGAAACUUAAUUCUUUUUUUUUUUUUAAAGAAAGUAGUUAUUGUUUCAUUUUCGGUUACUGGUACGUACAGAGGAAACGUGACUCUUAAGCUCCGGGCAUUGGAGCGCCCGCCACAGCCAUUUCCUUGGUUAUUAGAGAAACUCGCAUCGGUUUGGACUGAAAUCAUUUUUAAUUUUGCCUUUAUAUCACGAAUAAACAGCGUUCAUUUGUUAACGCGCAGUAAUCAUCUGAUAUAAACAGUCCUCAUAUAAACCUCUUACGCUGAGCCCGGAGGUGCCCAAACCCAUCACUGAGAUAUACCAGUGGGCGUGAGCAUUAACGCGAUAUCGCAAACCAUCCAAUUAAUCGCUCCAAUAAUGCUGUGAAUAGCGAAGACUACCGCCUCUGAAGGACAUGACUCGUUUAUCAAAGCGGCCGUUUAAUAGCUGGGGUUCAUGUCUGCGAUGUACAUAUGCAAUGCUAAAGUGUGUAGAUUAGCUUUUCCAAACAAAAAUGUGAAUUUGAUAACUUAUAUGCACGCUACUUAAUACAUGAUUUUUAAAGCGAAUUAACGUUUUUUGAUCAACUAAAGUCGUAAAGUAUGUUUUCCAGUGCCCGAAAGUUCAGAUAUUUAUUGCUUCAUACCCCUGGUUCUCUACCUACCACGGGCGCCAGCGAGCCGCUGUUUCAUUUAAUGAAGCCUAAUGAGGCGGACUGUGGCAGGCAGGACGCGAACUAACGCUCGUCACCCUCCUGAUGAAGCUAUCGUGGCUUUGAGAAAAAGAGGAGAGUCGUUAAACUAAAUGAUGCUGCAUGGCUUUCUCAGACAAAACAUAGGCCGUCUAUAAAUUAUAACCUUCCAUGCCAGUCAGAUAAUGUAUCAGAUAAUGUAUCACAAGCAUGCAGCUCAAUGAGAAAACACAGCUACCAUGUACAGUAUCAUAUUCCAUAGUUUCCUCCUGGGACCAAGUGCAUCUUAAUCUUAAUCUUAAAAGUGACUGGGAGCAGGGACGGAUUACGGACCGGGCCAGCGGGGCCGCUGCCCAGGGGCCCUUGGGGUGCAGGGGGCCCGUGGGGCCCCUAGGCAAAAACAAUUUGCAACGCUUAUCAACAAUGUAUUUUCGUUUGUCUAUUUUAGAGGGCCUACAUUCUUUGAUCCUCUGCCUACAAGGGCCCCUGACCCUAUAGGGAGGGUGUUUGGCUGCCAAGGACCCUUGAAUUGUGGUGGUUGUGGUGCUGGUGCUGGUGCUGGUGGGGGGGGCCCUCACGAAUGUUUUGCCCAGGGACCCACACAACCCAUAAUCCGUCCCUGACUGGGAGCCAGUGCAGUGAAUUUGAAACAGGAGUAAUGUGCUUUUUUCAUAAUUAAAAAGUUCUGUCCGUAACAUUCAGGUUGCAGCUGUCUAA